Molecule: non-coding RNA, 23 nt
Filed under: Arabidopsis thaliana (thale cress)
Lineage: Eukaryota; Viridiplantae; Streptophyta; Magnoliopsida; Brassicales; Brassicaceae
Also listed under: 5 other names
Source: RNAcentral
GUUACCACAGGGAUAACUGGCUU